RNAcentral lists this transfer RNA (100 nucleotides) under Pseudogymnoascus sp. VKM F-3808. It matches the Rfam family "tRNA". From Rfam's summary of the family: Transfer RNA (tRNA) molecules are approximately 80 nucleotides in length. Their secondary structure includes four short double-helical elements and three loops (D, anti-codon, and T loops). Further hydrogen bonds mediate the characteristic L-shaped molecular structure. tRNAs have two regions of fundamental functional importance: the anti-codon, which is responsible for specific mRNA codon recognition, and the 3' end, to which the tRNAs corresponding amino acid is attached (by aminoacyl-tRNA synthetases). tRNAs cope with the degeneracy of the genetic code in two manners: having more than one tRNA (with a specific anti-codon) for a particular amino acid; and 'wobble' base-pairing, i.e. permitting non-standard base-pairing at the 3rd anti-codon position. Lineage: Eukaryota; Fungi; Ascomycota; Leotiomycetes; Thelebolales; Thelebolaceae. The record is from Rfam by way of RNAcentral.
GCUCCAAUGGCGCAAUGGUAGCGCGCAAGACUUCUACGAAUGUACUAACUAAUAGUCACGUGUUAUCUUGAGGUUGAGGGUUCGAGCCCCUCUUGGAGUG